UGGUUCAACCCGCACACAGCCUAACUUGUUAACAUCAGGUUGAAGCUGAACUACAGAGAAAGGGUAAUCAUUCUUUCGAUCUCCUUCUAUCUUGCUUGUUGGUCUUUUUAUGGAUAUCUCUUGGGUUGGAUAAGAUCUUAAUAAGCCUUAAGAACCAGGUCACCGCCGGUCCUAUCAUACUUUCCACGACGAGUUGCCAAUAUCCGAAAUUUUUCUCUGUUGCGUUGAAGUGUGCUUGUCUCAUGGAUAUGUUGUCAUGUGAUCACUACAAUCUGUCUCGUAUGAAAAAGAUGGGAUCUUAAUUUUGUCCUAAGUGUCGGAACAGUAUCUCGGUUAUCUUUGUCGUGAACUGCGUCUUCUGUGUUGCAGCGAGAACGUGCUCUAUUUCUGGCACUGAACUUGUCGCCCGAUGAACCUUGGAUGAGAUACUUUGUAUUGAAUUCCAAAGAAGAUCGAUUUAUUGGUUGGUUGGUUGACCUAUUCAAUCUACUGCGACUUGAUGUCCUGCCGAGUUUUGAUUGGUUCAGAAUAGAUCUCUUCUUGCAGUUUCGGGAUCGGUAUUUUGAAGCAAUGAUUGUCUAUAGACUGCAACUAGGGAAUUGAGCCGUUCAUUAGUAGCUUUUUGAUGCAUCUUGUCUCUCGAAGCGCCUCACCAUAUUUUGCAUCAUAGUCAUCACCACGGCCAAGUCUUGCUGUGCAGCUGAUGCGACUUGGCCUCCGGUUCGAGUGUCAUCUUCUUCGACCAUCGUAGAUCUUCUUUGGCGCUUAUUUAUAAUUUCCACUGAUGAUGUCAGUUAUUCAAUUUGAAUUUGGCAUGUUCGAGAUGAAAUCACAAAUUUUAUGGUGAGUUAAUUGAAAGAUAUUUAUUGGAA
Molecule: long non-coding RNA, 872 nt
Organism: Brassica oleracea var. oleracea
Lineage: Eukaryota; Viridiplantae; Streptophyta; Magnoliopsida; Brassicales; Brassicaceae
Exons: 2
Source: RefSeq, a predicted model, not a curated record